GGCUUAACACAUGCAAGUCGAGGGGCAGCACAGGUAGCAAUACCGGGUGGCGACCGGCGCACGGGUGAGUAACGCGUAUGCAACUUGCCUAUCAGAGGGGGAUAACCCGGCGAAAGUCGGACUAAUACCGCAUGAAGCAGGGAUCCCGCAUGGGAAUAUUUGCUAAAGAUUCAUCGCUGAUAGAUAGGCAUGCGUUCCAUUAGGCAGUUGGCGGGGUAACGGCCCACCAAACCGACGAUGGAUAGGGGUUCUGAGAGGAAGGUCCCCCACAUUGGUACUGAGACACGGACCAAACUCCUACGGGAGGCAGCAGUGAGGAAUAUUGGUCAAUGGCCGAGAGGCUGAACCAGCCAAGUCGCGUGAGGGAUGAAGGUUCUAUGGAUCGUAAACCUCUUUUAUAAGGGAAUAAAGUGCGGGACGUGUCCCGUUUUGUAUGUACCUUAUGAAUAAGGAUCGGCUAACUCCGUGCCAGCAGCCGCGGUAAUACGGAGGAUCCGAGCGUUAUCCGGAUUUAUUGGGUUUAAAGGGUGCGUAGGCGGCCUUUUAAGUCAGCGGUGAAAGCCUGUGGCUCAACCAUAGAAUUGCCGUUGAAACUGGGGGGCUUGAGUAUGUUUGAGGCAGGCGGAAUGCGUGGUGUAGCGGUGAAAUGCAUAGAUAUCACGCAGAACCCCGAUUGCGAAGGCAGCCUGCCAAGCCAUGACUGACGCUGAUGCACGAAAGCGUGGGGAUCAAACAGGAUUAGAUACCCUGGUAGUCCACGCAGUAAACGAUGAUCACUAGCUGUUUGCGAUACACUGUAAGCGGCACAGCGAAAGCGUUAAGUGAUCCACCUGGGGAGUACGCCGGCAACGGUGAAACUCAAAGGAAUUGACGGGGGCCCGCACAAGCGGAGGAACAUGUGGUUUAAUUCGAUGAUACGCGAGGAACCUUACCCGGGUUUGAACGCAUUCGGACCGAGGUGGAAACACCUUUUCUAGCAAUAGCCGUUUGCGAGGUGCUGCAUGGUUGUCGUCAGCUCGUGCCGUGAGGUGUCGGCUUAAGUGCCAUAACGAGCGCAACCCUUGCCACUAGUUACUAACAGGUAAAGCUGAGGACUCUGGUGGGACUGCCAGCGUAAGCUGCGAGGAAGGCGGGGAUGACGUCAAAUCAGCACGGCCCUUACAUCCGGGGCGACACACGUGUUACAAUGGCGUGGACAAAGGGAAGCCACCUGGCGACAGGGAGCGAAUCCCCAAACCACGUCUCAGUUCGGAUCGGAGUCUGCAGCCCGACUCCGUGAAGCUGGAUUCGCUAGUAAUCGCGCAUCAGCCAUGGCGCGGUGAAUACGUUCCCGGGCCUUGUACACACCGCCCGUCAAGCCAUGGGAGCCGGGGGUACCUGAAGUCCGUAACCGCGAGGAUCGGCCUAGGGUAAAACUGGUGACUGGGGCUAAAU
RNAcentral lists this ribosomal RNA (1434 nucleotides) under uncultured organism. Its description in RNAcentral is "SSU rRNA". It matches the Rfam family "Bacterial small subunit ribosomal RNA". The record is from RNAcentral.